Molecule: ribosomal RNA, 270 nt
Filed under: uncultured prokaryote
Description: partial 16S ribosomal RNA
Rfam family: Archaeal small subunit ribosomal RNA
Source: RNAcentral
UACUAGCGGUCCAAGUCGCAGCCAUCUUUAUUGGGUCUAAAACAUCCGUAGCUUGCUUAAUGAGUUCCUUGUGAAAUCCUAUGUCUCAAGCAUGGGGCGUGCAAGGAGUACUGUUGAGCUAGAGACCGGAAGGCGUAGGAAGUACGACUAAAGUAGUGGUAAAAUACUCUAAUCUUGGUCGGACUCACAAUAGCGAAGGCAUCCUACGAGGACGGUUCUGACAGUAAGGGAUGAAAGCUAGGGGCGCAAAUGGGAUUAGAUACCCGCGUA